RNAcentral lists this ribosomal RNA (300 nucleotides) under Pholcus fragillimus. RNAcentral describes it as "partial 12S ribosomal RNA". The record is from RNAcentral. Lineage: Eukaryota; Metazoa; Arthropoda; Arachnida; Araneae; Pholcidae.
GGUAGUUACUAAACCAUUAUGUGCUGGCGGUCUUUAAAUAUUAGAGAAACUCGCUUUAUAAUCGUAAAUACUCGUUAAUUUUGACUUAAUUAAACUUAGCCUAUAUACCGCCGUUUAGAAUUAAUUUACUUUAAAAUUCCAUAAAUAAAAUAAAAAAUCAGGUCAAGGUGUAGCCAAUAAUUAAGAAAAAGUAAGUUACAUUAAAAAUAAUUUAAGAAUAUAAAAUAAAAAUUAAUUUGAAAGAGAAUUUAUUUGUACUUUCUAAUUAACAAUUAGAAUAGAAAUAAAUAUUAAAGAUGC